UACGAAGGGGGCUAGCGUUGUUCGGAAUCACUGGGCGUAAAGCGCACGUAGGCGGACUUUUAAGUCAGGGGUGAAAUCCCAGGGCUCAACCCUGGAACUGCCCUUGAUACUGAAAGUCUCGAGUCCGGGAGAGGUGAGUGGAACUCCGAGUGUAGAGGUGAAAUUCGUAGAUAUUCGGAAGAACACCAGUGGCGAAGGCGGCUCACUGGCCCGGUACUGACGCUGAGGUGCGAAAGCGUGGGGAGCAAACAGG
This 253-nucleotide ribosomal RNA is filed under the name uncultured bacterium. Its description in RNAcentral is "partial 16S ribosomal RNA". It matches the Rfam family "Bacterial small subunit ribosomal RNA", at positions 524 to 776 of the family's 1533-position model. The record is from RNAcentral.